AGCGAACGCUGGCGGCAGGCUUAACACAUGCAAGUCGAACGGGCACUUCGGUGUCAGUGGCAGACGGGUGAGUAACGCGUGGGAACAUACCUCUUGGUUCGGAACAACACAGGGAAACUUGUGCUAAUACCGGAUAAGCCCUUACGGGGAAGAUUAUCGCCGAGAGAUUGGCCCGCGUCUGAUUAGCUAGUUGGUGUGGUAAAAGACGCACCAAGGCGACGAUCAGUAGCNGGUCUGAGAGGAUGAUCAGCCACAUUGGGACUGAGACACGGCCCAAACUCCUACGGGAGGCAGCAGUGGGGAAUAUUGGACAAUGGGCGCAAGCCUGAUCCAGCCAUGCCGCGUGAGUGAUGAAGGCCC
This 360-nucleotide ribosomal RNA is filed under the name uncultured bacterium. Its description in RNAcentral is "bacterial SSU rRNA". It matches the Rfam family "Bacterial small subunit ribosomal RNA", at positions 29 to 417 of the family's 1533-position model. The record is from RNAcentral.